This 469-nucleotide ribosomal RNA is filed under the name uncultured Actinomycetes bacterium. RNAcentral's name for it is "bacterial SSU rRNA". It matches the Rfam family "Bacterial small subunit ribosomal RNA", at positions 8 to 487 of the family's 1533-position model. Lineage: Bacteria; Bacillati; Actinomycetota; Actinomycetes. The record is from RNAcentral.
AGAGUUUGAUCCUGGCUCAGGACGAACGCUGGCGGCGUGCUUAACACAUGCAAGUCGAACGAGGCCCUACCAGUGGCAACACUGGGAAAGGCCUAGUGGCGAACGGGUGAGUAACACGUGAGGAACCUGCCCCGAAGACUGGGAUAACCCUCCGAAAGGAGAGCUAAUACCAGAUGUCCUCAUGAGAUCGCAUGGUCACAUGAGGAAAGGUCCGCUGCUUCGGGAGGGCCUCGCGGCCUAUCAGCUUGUUGGUGGGGUAACGGCCUACCAAGGCGACGACGGGUAGCUGGUCUGAGAGGACGAUCAGCCACACUGGGACUGAGACACGGCCCAGACUCCUACGGGAGGCAGCAGUGGGGAAUCUUGCGCAAUGGGCGAAAGCCUGACGCAGCAACGCCGCGUGCGGGAUGAAGGCCUUCGGGUUGUAAACCGCUUUCAGUGGGGACGAAAACAGACGUACCCACAGAAG